GAAAUCGGAGUCGAAAAUACGGUAAAUUUCAGUGUUAUCACUACCGCAUAAAAUUCUGAGUGGUAUGUCUAAUGCAGAAGACAUGCAUCAACGGAGGAUCCUGCCAACCAUUAUCAAUGUUUUUUAUUUCACUAACUAUUGAAGGAUGUCGGUCGGAGAUCAAACAUAAGUUAGGUUGAGGAGAAACGUGCAAUAGAGAUUUCUUAGGAAAAAAC
Molecule: long non-coding RNA, 215 nt
Filed under: Lathyrus oleraceus (garden pea)
Lineage: Eukaryota; Viridiplantae; Streptophyta; Magnoliopsida; Fabales; Fabaceae
Description: Pisum sativum (pea) long non-coding RNA (PSAT_LNC015056)
Source: RNAcentral